This 103-nucleotide microRNA precursor is filed under the name Marmota monax (woodchuck). Lineage: Eukaryota; Metazoa; Chordata; Mammalia; Rodentia; Sciuridae. The record is from RNAcentral.
AGUAGAAUUACUGGGCCAUAUGGUAAUUUUAUCUUUAGCAUUUUAAGAAGCUGCCAAAUUGUUUUCCAAAGUGGAUGCACCAUUUUAUAUUCCCAUCAGUAGA